GCAACUUUUAUCAGUUUUUCUACUUUGGAAGUUGUUCAUGAUGAACCAGCGGCGCUCCAGAAGGAGAAGAGCUCUCCCAGCUUACCUGAAGGACUUCAUGCUGGAGCACGCCUCUUCCGUUGAGGAGCGCGCAGCGGCGGUCAGGCUGGACCACAGCUACAGCUGCAUCUCGGACGCAUCUCUGGAGGAACGGCACCUGAGGAACGCGGCUGUCCUCCCUGUCCUCUGCCCUGCAGCCUCAGUCUCCUCAGUGGGCGAGUGUCAACAGGAGGAGCCACUCUUCAUCCACGGCCGGAGUGUGCAGGACUAUCGGCACAUUCAUCGCAAUGUGACGGGCUCCAUCAUGAAGAAGCGUGGUGGUAGGUACAAGUUGCAGCGAGGCCUAGAGGUCAAGCAGCGGCUGUGGGACGAGCUGGACCGGCCUGCACUGCUGGAGACCGAGCAGUCUGACGGACGUGUGGUCAUCACAGAGGUCAGAUCCUGCUCCAGAGUUGCUCCUCAAAUCAUGGUGGACAUCAGUGGAGAGCCACUUCCUGAGGAGCCCCGAAGAAAGAAGCCCAGGCACUGAACCAUCCUAGUGCCACAUGGAGCAUCAAGGGCACGAAGAAGUGCCUCAGACAAGAAGUGGAGAGCUGUGCUUUGGGGAGCCCUGCUGCUGCUGAGCUUCUAGAGCAUGUGCAGUCCAGAUCCUGGAUCUCUGCUCACCUGCACUCAAGUAAACACUGAUGCAGCACCGGUGUGACCGUUUUGUCAUUGCAGACUGUAGAAGAAGCUCCUACGAGAAGCUUGAGUUUGAUCCAGAAUUGCUGGUCAUCUUGAAAGCGAGACAACCUUCAGAAACCAUCCCACAAUUCCCACAACUCUC
Danio rerio (zebrafish) is the source of this 865-nucleotide non-coding RNA. The record is from Ensembl. Lineage: Eukaryota; Metazoa; Chordata; Actinopteri; Cypriniformes; Danionidae.